Molecule: long non-coding RNA, 490 nt
Organism: Folsomia candida
Lineage: Eukaryota; Metazoa; Arthropoda; Collembola; Entomobryomorpha; Isotomidae
Exons: 2
Source: RefSeq, a predicted model, not a curated record
AAACCAGAAUCAAUUAUGAAUUGAACCAGGAAGCGACAGUCUGAACAAAAUUUUCCAGUGAAAGGUUGAAAUCUCAAUAUAAGAAGAACCAUUUACAAAUUGUCCAUAAUUUCUCUGUGAAUAAUUUUAAAAAUGAACAAUUUAAUUGUGACUGUCAUCAUCCUGACUCUUUUAGGGACUCUCUUUGCACGUCGAAUAUCUGGUCCAGAAAUUGAGAAUGUGGCAUGUACAACAGUCUUGAAUAGUCAAGGUACAUGCGUUGCCAGUCUGGUGAAUUGUGUUCCAGGGGUAGCACUUCCAUUAGGAUGCUCUAACGGCUCGGAACGAUUCUGCUGUCCAAAUGACAAAUUGUUGUAAUGCAACCUGUCGCCUCAUACAUAAUGCACAGAUAUGAUCUAAUGAAGUUAAAUAUGUAUCAUUACAUUUGUUUUUAUUAAAUAAAUUUUAUUAAAUAAAUAAUUUUGAUAAAUUAAACCCUGACUGAUGCAAA